CUUGGGAAAUCAGCAAAAUAACAUGGAAUUAAUUUGUGAAAUUAUUAACGAUCAAGUUUUUCAGAGCAUAUACAAUACUCUCAACUCAUAAGACAUUGCGUAACUUAGGAAAUCAGAUGGAAUUAACUUGUAAAAUCAACAAGUGGAAUUAACUGAUGGAAGAAGUCAGUAAAAUUUUCGAUUAUUUUGACAGUGUCACAUUCUCCGUCACCCUGGAAGAGAUAAAGAUUUUUGGACAUUUUUGAAAGCAACAAAUGCCUUUCCUGUAAAAAUCACAGAACUUACAGAAUGCACCUUAUAUUUACUAUUUGCUGCAGUCCUAAAUGAAAUUAUUAACGAUCAAGUUUUUCAGAGCAUAUACAAUACUCUCAAUUCCUAUAACUUGAGAAACCCGAAAGAUAAGAUGGAAUUAAUUGAUGGAAGAAGUCAGUAAAAUUUUCAAUUAUUUUGACAGUGUCACACCUCCGUCACCCUGGAAGAGAUAAAGAGUUUUGGACAUUUUUGAAAUCAACAAAUGCCUUUCCUGUAAAAAUCACAGAACUUACAGAAUGCACCUUAUAUUUACUAUUUGCUGCAGUCCUAAAUGAAAUUAUUAACGAUCAAGUUUUUCAGAGUAUAUACAAUGCUAUCAACUCAUAUAAGACGUUGCGUAACUUAGGAAUUCAGCAAAAAAACAUGGAAUUAAUUUGUGAAAUUAUUAACGAUCAAGUUUUUCAGAGCAUAUACAAUACUCUCAACUCAUAACAGACGUUGCGUAACUUGUGAAUUCAGCAAAAAAACAUGGAAUUAAUUUGUGAAAUUAUUAAUGAUCAAGUUUUUCAGAGCAUAUACAAUGCUCUCAACUCAUAACAGACGUUCGUAUAACAAGUUUUUCAGAGCAUAUACAAUACUCUCAACUCAUAACAGACGUUGCGUAACUUGUGAAUUCAGCAAAAAAACAUGGAAUUAAUUUGUGAAAUUAUUAAUGAUCAAGUUUUUCAGAGCAUAUACAAUACUCUCAACUCAUAACAGACGUUGCUAACUUGUGAAUUCAGCAAAAAAACAUGGAAUUAAUUUGUGAAAUUAUUAACGAUCAAGUUUUUCAGAGCAUAUACAAUACUCUCAACUCAUAUACAGACGUUGCGUAACUUGUGAAUUCAGCAAAAAACAUGGAAUUAAUUUGUGAAAUUAUUAAUGAUCAAGUUUUUCAGAGCAUAUACAAUGCUCUAAUUCCAACUCUCAACUCAUAUAAGACGUUGCGUAACUUGUGAAUUCAGCAAAAAAACAUGGAAUUAAUUUGUGAAAUUAUUAAUGAUCAAGUUUUUCAGAGCAUAUACAAUGCUCUCAACUCAUAUAAGACGUUGCGUAACUUGUGAAUUCAGCAAAAAACAUGGAAUUAAUUUGUGAAAUUAUUAAUGAUCAAGUUUUUCAGAGCAUAUACAAUGCUCUCAACUCAUAUAAGACGUUGCGUAACUUGUGAAUUCAGCAAAAAAACAUGGAAUUAAUUUGUGAAAUUAUUAAUGAUCAAGUUUUUCAGAGCAUAUACAAUGCUCUCAACUCAUAUAAGACGUUGCGUAACUUGUGAAUUCAGCAAAAAAACAUGGAAUUAAUUUGUGAAAUUAUUAAUGAUCAAGUUUUUCAGAGCAUAUACAAUGCUCUCAACUCAUAUAAGACGUUGCGUAACUUGUGAAUUCAGCAAAAAAACAUGGAAUUAAUUUGUGAAAUUAUUAAUGAUCAAGUUUUUCAGAGCAUAUACAAUGCUCUCAACUCAUAUAAGACGUUGCGUAACUUCGGUAAUCAGCAAAAUAACAUGGAAUUAACUUGUAAAAUUAUAAACGAUCAAGUUUUUCAGAGCAUAUACAAUGUUCUCAACUCAUAACAGACGUUGCGUAACUUCGGUAUUCAGCAAAAUAACAUGGAAUUAAUUUGUGAAAUUAUUAACGAUCAAGUUUUGCAGAGUAUAUACAAUACUCUCAACUCAUAUAAGACAUUGCGUAACUUAGGAAAUCCGCAAAGCAACUUGAAAUUAACUGAUGGAAGUAGUCAGUAAAAUUUUCGAUUAUUUUGACAGUGUCACACCUCCGUCACCCUGGAAGAGAUAAAGAGUUUUGGACAUUUUUGAAAGCAACAAAUGCCUUUCCUGUAAAAAUCACAAAACUUACAGAAUGCACCUUAUAUUUACUAUUUGCUGCAGUCCUAAAUGAAAUUAUUAACGAUCAAGUUUUGCAGAGCAUAUACAAUACUCUCAAUUACUAUAACUUGAGAAACCCGAAAGAUAAGAUGGAAUUAAUUGAUGGAAGAAGUCAGUAAAAUUUUCAAUUAUUUUGACAAUUUCACAUUCUCCGUCACCCUGGAAGAGAUAAAGAGUUUUGGACAUUUUUGAAAUCAACAAAUGCCUUUCCUGUAAAAAUCACAGAACUUACAGAACGCACCUUGAAUUUACUAUUUGCUGCAGUCCUAAGUGAAAUUAUUGACGAUCAAGUUUUGCAGAGUAUAUACAAUGCUAUCAACUCAUAUAAGACAUUGCGUAACUUAGGAAAUCAGCAAAAUAACAUGGAAUUAAUUUGUGAAAUUAUUAACGAUCAAGUUUUUCAGAGCAUAUACAAUGCUAUCAACUCAUAUAAGACGUUGCAUAACUUGGGAAAUCAGCAAAAUAACAUGGAAUUAAUUUGUGAAAUUAUUAACGAUCAAGUUUUUCAGAGCAUAUACAAUACUCUCAACUCAUAACAGACGUUGCGUAACUUGUGAAUUCAGCAAAAAAACAUGGAAUUAAUUUGUGAAAUUAUUAAUGAUCAAGUUUUUCAGAGCAUAUACAAUGCUCUCAACUCAUAUAAGACGUUGCGUAACUUGUGAAUUCAGCAAAAAAACAUGGAAUUAAUUUGUGAAAUUAUUAAUGAUCAAGUUUUUCAGAGCAUAUACAAUGCUCUCAACUCAUAUAAGACGUUGCGUAACUUGUGAAUUCAGCAAAAAAACAUGGAAUUAAUUUGUGAAAUUAUUAAUGAUCAAGUUUUUCAGAGCAUAUACAAUGCUCUCAACUCAUAUAAGACGUUGCGUAACUUGUGAAUUCAGCAAAAAAACAUGGAAUUAAUUUGUGAAAUUAUUAAUGAUCAAGUUUUUCAGAGCAUAUACAAUGCUCUCAACUCAUAUAAGACGUUGCGUAACUUCGGUAAUCAGCAAAAUAACAUGGAAUUAACUUGUAAAAUUAUAAACGAUCAAGUUUUUCAGAGCAUAUACAAUGUUCUCAACUCAUAACAGACGUUGCGUAACUUCGGUAUUCAGCAAAAUAACAUGGAAUUAAUUUGUGAAAUUAUUAACGAUCAAGUUUUGCAGAGUAUAUACAAUACUCUCAACUCAUAUAAGACAUUGCGUAACUUAGGAAAUCCGCAAAGCAACUUGAAAUUAACUGAUGGAAGUAGUCAGUAAAAUUUUCGAUUAUUUUGACAGUGUCACACCUCCGUCACCCUGGAAGAGAUAAAGAGUUUUGGACAUUUUUGAAAGCAACAAAUGCCUUUCCUGUAAAAAUCACAAAACUUACAGAAUGCACCUUAUAUUUACUAUUUGCUGCAAUCCUAAAUGAAAUUAUUAACGAUCAAGUUUUGCAGAGCAUAUACAAUACUCUCAAUUACUAUAACUUGAGAAACCCGAAAGAUAAGAUGGAAUUAAUUGAUGGAAGAAGUCAGUAAAAUUUUCAAUUAUUUUGACAAUGUCACAUUCUCCGUCACCCUGGAAGAGAUAAAGAGUUUUGGACAUUUUUGAAAUCAACAAAUGCCUUUCCUGUAAAAAUCACAGAACUUACAGAAUGCACCUUAUAUUUACUAUUUGCUGCAGUCCUAAAUGAAAUUAUUAACGAUCAAGUUUUUCAGAGCAUAUACAAUACUCUCAACUCAUAACAGACGUUGCGUAACUUGUGAAUUCAGCAAAAAAACAUGGAAUUAAUUUGUGAAAUUAUUAACGAUCAAGUUUUUCAGAGUAUAUACAAUGCUAUCAACUCAUAUAAGACGUUGCGUAACUUAGGAAUUCAGCAAAAUAACAUGGAAUUAAUUUGUGAAAUUAUUAACGAUCAAGUUUUUCAGAGCAUAUACAAUGUUCUCAACUCAUAACAGACAUUGCGUAACUUCGGUAUUCAGCAAAAUAACAUG
This 4118-nucleotide long non-coding RNA is filed under the name Octopus vulgaris (common octopus). Lineage: Eukaryota; Metazoa; Mollusca; Cephalopoda; Octopoda; Octopodidae. The record is from RNAcentral.